UCAAGUGACUAAGUGCAUGUGGCGGAUGCCUUGGCGAUCACAGGCGAAGAAAGACGCGGCAGCCUGCGAAAAGCUGCGGGGAGCUGGCAAACGAGCUUUGAUCCGCAGAUAUCUGAAUGGGGGAACCCACACCGCAAGGUGUAUCCGUGACUGAAUACAUAGGUUACGGAGGCGAACGAGGAGAACUGAAACAUCUAAGUAUCCUCAGGAAAAGAAAUCAACCGAGAUUCCGGCAGUAGCGGCGAGCGAACCCGGAGGAGCCUAGCUUUUGAUAGUACGAACUUUAGCCGAAAGGUCCUGGAAAGGCCUGCUAUAGUGGGUGAUAGCCCCGUAGGCGAAAGAGUUCGUAUGGUACUAAGGAAGCGAGAAGUAGAGCGGGACACGUGGAAUCCUGUUCGAAGAUGGGGGGACCAUCCUCCAAGGCUAAAUACUCGUGAUCGACCGAUAGUGAACCAGUACCGUGAGGGAAAGGCGAAAAGAACCCCGGGAGGGGAGUGAAAUAGAACCUGAAACCGCAUGCAUACAAACAGUAGGAGCCUCGUCAGAGGUGACUGCGUACCUUUUGCAUAAUGGGUCAGCGACUUACAUUCUGUGGCGAGCUUAACCGAAUAGGGGAGGCGCAGCGAAAGCGAGUUCGAAAUGAGCGUCCAGUCGCAGGGUGUAGACCCGAAACCAGAUGAGCUAUCCAUGGCCAGGUUGAAGGUGUGGUAACACACACUGGAGGACCGAACCGACUAGUGUUGCAAAAUUAGCGGAUGAGCUGUGGAUAGGGGUGAAAGGCCAAACAAAUCUGGAGAUAGCUGGUUCUCCCCGAAAACUAUUGAGGUAGUGCCUCGUGUGUCGCUCCAGGGGGUAGAGCACUGUUUUGGCUAGGGGGACAUGGAGUCUUACCAAACCAAGGCAAACUCCGAAUACCUGGAAGCGUGAGCACGGGAGACAGAGCACCGGGUGCUAACGUCCGGACUCAAAAGGGAAACAACCCAGACCGCCGGCUAAGGUCCCCAAUAACAGCUAAGUGGAAAACGAAGUGGAAAGGCCGUGACAACCAGGAAGUUGGCUUAGAAGCAGCCAUCCUUCAAAGAAAGCGUAAUAGCUCACUGGUCGAGUCCUUCUGCGCGGAAGAUGUAACGGGGCUAAGCUGUUAACCGAAGCCGCGGAUGCACUGAUUAUUCAGUGCGUGGUAGGGGAGCGUUCUGUAAGUCUGCGAAGGCGGUUCGAGAGGACUGCUGGAGAUAUCAGAAGUGCGAAUGCUGACAUGAGUAACGUUAAAGCAGGUGAAAAGCCUGCUCGCCGUAAGCCCAAGGAUUCCUGCUCUACGUUCAUCGGAGCAGGGUGAGUCGGCUCCUAAGGUCAGGCCGAAAGGCGUAGCCGAUGGGAAUCAGGUUAAUAUUCCUGAACCUGCGUCAGAUGCGAUGGGGGGACGGAGCAUGAAAGAUCAUCCGGGUGUUGGAUGUCCCGGUUGACGAGCGUAGGAGGUCUGCAGGCAAAUCCGCAGACGCAUCUCCAAGGCGAAGUCACGUGCCGCCACGGCGGCGAAGUGAUCGGAAGUGCUUCCAAGAAAAGCCUCUAAGCACCAGUCUGACGCGGACCGUACCGCAAACCGACACUGGUGGGCGAGCUGAAUAUGCUCAGGCGCUUGAGAGAACUCGGGAGAAGGAACUCGGCAAAUUGACACCGUAACUUCGGAAGAAGGUGUGCCGUAGUACCGUGAGAGGAGAGACACCUUGAGCGGGAAUCGGUCUCAGAGAAUAGGUGGCUGCGACUGUUUAUUAAAAACACAGCACUCUGCAAAGUCGAAAGACGACGUAUAGGGUGUGAUGCCUGCCCGGUGCUGGAAGAUUAAUUGAUGGGGUGAGAGCCCUUGAUCGAAGUCCCAGUAAACGGCGGCCGUAACUAUAACGGUCCUAAGGUAGCGAAAUUCCUUGUC
This 1927-nucleotide ribosomal RNA is filed under the name human gut metagenome. Its description in RNAcentral is "bacterial LSU rRNA". It matches the Rfam family "Bacterial large subunit ribosomal RNA", at positions 3 to 1973 of the family's 2925-position model. The record is from RNAcentral.